This is a non-coding RNA of Acanthosepion pharaonis, 114 nucleotides long. The record is from the annotation of a GenBank genome assembly. Lineage: Eukaryota; Metazoa; Mollusca; Cephalopoda; Sepiida; Sepiidae.
UUACGGCCAGAUCGCGUUUAAACACCGGUUCCUGUUCGAUCACCGAAGUUAAGCAACAUCAAGCCAGAUCCGUACUUAGAUUAGUGACCUCUUAGGAAUACCAAGUGCUGUAUG